RNAcentral lists this ribosomal RNA (497 nucleotides) under uncultured bacterium. Its description in RNAcentral is "partial 16S ribosomal RNA". It matches the Rfam family "Bacterial small subunit ribosomal RNA", at positions 28 to 507 of the family's 1533-position model. The record is from RNAcentral.
GAUGAACGCUGGCGGCGUGCCUAAUACAUGCAAGUCGAGCGAACAGACGAGGAGCUUGCUCCUCUGACGUUAGCGGCGGACGGGUGAGUAACACGUGGAUAACCUACCUAUAAGACUGGGAUAACUUCGGGAAACCGGAGCUAAUACCGGAUAAUAUAUUGAACCGCAUGGUUCAAUAGUGAAAGACGGUUUUGCUGUCACUUAUAGAUGGAUCCGCGCCGCAUUAGCUAGUUGGUAAGGUAACAGCUUACCAAGGCAACGAUGCGUAGCCGACCUGAGAGGGUGAUUGGCCACACUGGAACUGAGACACGGUCCAGACUCCUACGGGAGGCAGCAGUAGGGAAUCUUCCGCAAUGGGCGAAAGCCUGACGGAGCAACGCCGCGUGAGUGAUGAAGGUCUUCGGAUCGUAAAACUCUGUUAUUAGGGAAGAACAAAUGUGUAAGUAACUAUGCACGUCUUGACGGUACCUAAUCAGAAAGCCACGGCUAACUACGUG